Molecule: long non-coding RNA, 932 nt
Organism: Onychostoma macrolepis
Lineage: Eukaryota; Metazoa; Chordata; Actinopteri; Cypriniformes; Cyprinidae
Exons: 3
Source: RefSeq, a predicted model, not a curated record
GUUUUAUUUAAGUUUACCCAUGUUUGCCCAAUAGACAGAGGGAGUGAUGAUCCAUAAGCUACACAGUGAGAUGACAAGACUGGUCAAGAGAUACUUGGGCUACAUUGUUCCAGCUAGAUUAAUUGUGCAUAUUCCAAACAGUGAAGUAUCAUACCGACAUGAACACCAGCUGGCAACUGAGGAUCUCUUAAUUGGGGCUGAGGCCAGAGCAUUCCUUGAACAUGAAGAACUCUCCUCCAUGUUAAUGACCAAAAUAUAUUAGACAGUGAGAGCUUUCUAUGUGGAAGUCAUUGGGAAGAUGAUGAAGGUCUUUCCCUUAGACUCACAACUGCUCUGUGACCUGAAGGUGUUGGAUCCAGCCUCUCGCCUGGACAUCUCUCCUGAAACAGUCUGUCAUCAUUGCUCUUGGGUCUCUGCUGGAUGGAGGAGACGGCUGUCAAUCAUCAUUAAGGGCGUCGUCUCUGCAGCCAAUCCGAUGUCAUCCUGCUGUUUAAAGAUCUCCCGGCUUGUCACGCUGAGAAGCUCAGUGUGUGUGUUCAGGUGUUCUGAGUUAAAUUACUGUAAAAUAAUUACUGUUUUCUCUUUGAUUGGGGAAAUGAGGAACAGGUUAGGGUAUUGCGCGCCCUAGGAUACAUUCCGCCCGCAGUUAACAAAUGUUAGACACACUAGGAAAGAGGUGAGCGUCUCUUUUGUAUUUUUGUUUGUAGUUAGUAUAGUUUAGUUGUGGCGUCGUAUACGCCGAAGAUGUCGAGUUUGUUUUCUACAUUUUUCUUUGGUUAGUUAGGUUAAAAGGUUUUUUGGGAAUUCAGUUUAGAAUAUUUGUUUUAUUUUUGUUGAUUUGGCGCCACCUUCGUUCCUCAGUUUUUCCUAAUUUAAUGUAUUCUUAUUAUUCUUGCUUUCUAAAUUAUGCAUUGUAUAUAGCUCACACAUUG